GACGAACGCUGGCGGCGCGCCUAACACAUGCAAGUCGAACGGUGAAGAGGAGCUUGCUCCUCGGGACAGUGGCGGACGGGUGUGUAACACGUGAGCAAACCGGCUCCAUGAGGGGGACAACAGUUGAGAACGACGGCUAAAACAGCAUAACGUAUCGGGUUCGCAUCUUCCUGAUACCAAAGAUUUUAUCGCUUAGGGAUGGGCUCGCGUCUGAUUAGAUGGUUGGCGGGGUAACGGCACACCAAGUCGACGACCAGUAGCCGGGCUGAGAGGUUGAACGGCCAGAAUUGAGCUGCGGCACGGACCACACCGCGACGGGGGGGAGCAGUGUGGUGUAUUGGGGGAGGGGGGCAGACCUGAUCCCGCCGCGCGGCGGGAGGGAAGAAGGUUUUCGGAUUGUAAUCCUCUGUUGACGGAGAAAAGAAUGAUGGUAUCCGUUUAGAAAGCCACGGCUAACUACGUG
RNAcentral lists this ribosomal RNA (463 nucleotides) under uncultured bacterium. RNAcentral's name for it is "partial 16S ribosomal RNA". It matches the Rfam family "Bacterial small subunit ribosomal RNA", at positions 28 to 507 of the family's 1533-position model. The record is from RNAcentral.